AACGAACGCUGGCGGCAGGCUUAACACAUGCAAGUCGAACGCUCUCUUCGGAGAGAGUGGCAGACGGGUGAGUAACGCGUGGGAAUCUACCCAUCCCUACGGGACAACUCCGGGAAACUGGAGCUAAUACCGGAUACGCCCUUCGGGGGAAAGAUUUAUCGCCGAAAGAUCGGCCCGCGUCGGAUUAGCUUGUUGGUGGGGUAAAAGCCUACCAAGGCGACGAUCCGUAGCUGGUCUGAGAGGAUGACCAGCCACACUGGGACUGAGACACGGCCCAGACUCCUACGGGAGGCAGCAGUGGGGAAUAUUGGACAAUGGGCGAAAGCCUGAUCCAGCCAUGCCGCGUGGGUGAAGAAGGCCCUAGGGUUGUAAACCCCUUUCAGCGGGGAAGAUAACGACGGUACCCGCAGAAGAAGCCCCGGCUAACUCCGUGCCAGCAGCCGCGGUAAUACGGAGGGGGCUAGCGUUGUUCGGAAUUACUGGGCGUAAAGCGCGCGUAGGCGGACUUUCAAGUCAGGGGUGAAAUCCCGAGGCUCAACCUCGGAACUGCCUUUGAUACU
RNAcentral lists this ribosomal RNA (560 nucleotides) under uncultured bacterium. RNAcentral describes it as "bacterial SSU rRNA". It matches the Rfam family "Bacterial small subunit ribosomal RNA", at positions 28 to 634 of the family's 1533-position model. The record is from RNAcentral.